AACGCAGCGAAGGGCGAUAAGUAAUGUGAAUUGCAGAAUUCAGUGAAUCAUCGAAUCUUUGAACGCACAUUGCGCCCCGUGGUAUUCCGCGGGGCAUGCCUGUUCGAGCGUCAUUUAAACCAAUCCAGCUUGCUGGGUCUUGGGCCUCGCCUCUGGGCGGGCCUUAAAGUCAGUGGCGGCGCCACCCGGCUCUAAGCGUAGUAAUUCUUCUCGCUACAGAGCCCCGGGCGGAGGCUUGCCAGGCAACCCCUAAUCUUCAAAGGUUGACCUCGGAUCAGGUAGGGAUACCCGCUGAACUUAA
Molecule: ribosomal RNA, 301 nt
Filed under: uncultured fungus
Lineage: Eukaryota; Fungi
Description: eukaryotic LSU rRNA
Rfam family: 5.8S ribosomal RNA (bases 1-113)
Source: RNAcentral